CCCUUAGAUGUCCGGGACCGCACGCGCGCUACACUGAAGGAAUCAGCGUGGCUUUCUCCCUGACCCGAAAGGGUUGGGAAACCCGUUGAAUCUCCUUCGUGGUAGGGAUUGGGGCUUGAAAUUGUUCCCCAUGAACGAGGAAUUCCCAGUAAGCGCGAGUCAUAAGCUCGCGUUGAUUACGUCCCUGCCCUUUGUACACACCGCCCGUCGCUACUACCGAUUGAACGGUUUAGUGAGGGCCUCGGAUUGGUCUCGGCCCGCUCUUUACCGGGCGGCGCCGUUGGUCGAGAAGACGCUCGAACUUGAUCGUUUAGAGGAAGUAAAAGUCGUAACA
Molecule: ribosomal RNA, 334 nt
Filed under: uncultured eukaryote
Lineage: Eukaryota
Description: partial 18S ribosomal RNA
Rfam family: Eukaryotic small subunit ribosomal RNA
Source: RNAcentral